GUUGACUGGGCCGUUUAAGACA
This 22-nucleotide non-coding RNA is filed under the name Arabidopsis thaliana (thale cress). Lineage: Eukaryota; Viridiplantae; Streptophyta; Magnoliopsida; Brassicales; Brassicaceae. The record is from RNAcentral.